RNAcentral lists this ribosomal RNA (254 nucleotides) under uncultured bacterium. RNAcentral describes it as "partial 16S ribosomal RNA". It matches the Rfam family "Bacterial small subunit ribosomal RNA", at positions 524 to 776 of the family's 1533-position model. The record is from RNAcentral.
UACGGAGGGGACUAGCGUUGUUCGGAAUUACUGGGCGUAAAGCGCACGUAGGCGGAUUUGUAAGUCAGGGGUGAAAUCCCGAGGCUCAACCUCGGAACUGCCUUUGAUACUGCAAAUCUCGAGUCCGGAAGAGGUGAGUGGAAUUCCUAGUGUAGAGGUGAAAUUCGUAGAUAUUAGGAAGAACACCAGUGGCGAAGGCGGCUCACUGGUCCGGUACUGACGCUGAGGUGCGAAAGCGUGGGGGAGCAAACAGG